AUGCCAAGGGGAAUUUCACCCAUUAGUAAGUUGGCAGAUAGGUCUAGGCUCCAUAGCUUGGAGCAGUUUGUGAGAGUAUUUGGAAUGGUCCCUUGUAGUGAGUUGUUUCCCAAGUCAAGGUAUUCCAGUCUGUGGAGACGGUUGAGAGGAGGUAACUCGCCGGUGAAUCCAUUUUUGGACAGGUCCAGUGUCCUAAGGAACGUUAGGUUGCCAAGGGAGGGGGAUAUCCGGCCCAACAACCCUCGUUUGCUGAGGUACAACUUAGUGACUCGCCCCGAGCUACAGUGGACGCCCUCCCAACUGCAAAGAGGGACACUGGCUUGCCAAGAUCUUAAGGCUUGUCUUGAGUCGUUAGUGAUGUCCCGCUUGAAAUCUAGCAGCGAGAUCAUGCCCGUGAUGUUACCAUGGACGGUCGUCGAGGAGCAGCGAAUGCUGCCGACUCCACAAGAAAUCAGCAGCAGCGACAGCAACAUAAAGAUUGGGGCGAGCCUUGUCGCUUGA
This 501-nucleotide ribosomal RNA is filed under the name Triticum aestivum (bread wheat). RNAcentral describes it as "partial small subunit ribosomal RNA". The record is from RNAcentral. Lineage: Eukaryota; Viridiplantae; Streptophyta; Magnoliopsida; Poales; Poaceae.